UCAGUAGAGAACAAAAUAAGGUUCUCUUACUCUGGAGCCCAAGCAAAGCAAUACCAAAUCUUCUGGUUGGUUCCUUUAACCUAUAUUUCUGAACUAAAUUGGGACUUAGACGUAAAACAUCACAAACCACACUAUAUGACUGGAAUCGAUCUAUGAUUUUACUCUCUGGUCUGGUGAUUCUUUCAAUUUAUUUUCACAGGGCUUGGCAUAAUCUGAGGGCUUAGCACUGCCAGUUCUAAUGGCACUUUGGUUCUUAUAGAUACAGCUUUACUGAAAAGAUUCAUGUGGUCCAAGGGUGAGCUUUGCAGCUGGUGGUGGGGUCACAGGACAUAGGCAUGUCUUCAAUGGCCAGAACCACAGAGAGAAAACAUCCAAGGGGAAUCCAUUUUUAAUUCAAGAAUAGGAAAGCAUGCAUUCAUGAGAAAGUCAUGUGAACACAUAUAUGCCUGUGCAAAUAUGUGUAUGUCUGUCCCCUUUCUUUAAUAUUGAUUUUUUUCGCUUAAUAUUAUACUUCUAUUUUUACAUAGGACUGGAGAAUUUUAAUAAACAAAAGUGUAUAUUUGGCUGUAGCAUGGAAAUAGAGAAUAUAUCAGAUAUCACAUUCACUAUAGAUAUCUUGGCUUAAAUACAAAUACAACACAAUGCCAAAUAUCUGGCCAAAAAUCAAUAAUAGCAGUCAAUUAGGCAAGCAUGUGGAACUAUUUGGAAAAAUUCAGAUAAUUGACUAAAAAUUCCAAUUUUCAUUCAGAUGCCUGUCACCACGCUUCUUAUCAUUUGAUGUUUUUCUCUCACUACUUAGAGUCACAAAUAUUUUACUCCUUCACACUCUAAGCAAUAACACGCCUACCAAAAAAAGCUGAAAUAAAAAUGUGAUGACUAG
Molecule: long non-coding RNA, 880 nt
Filed under: Marmota monax (woodchuck)
Lineage: Eukaryota; Metazoa; Chordata; Mammalia; Rodentia; Sciuridae
Source: RNAcentral